CGUGGCCCCAUCCUAUGACGGUGUCCGUCGACGGAUCGUCCACCAUCCGAUAAGUCUUCAGCACGAAGGGAGCCGCCACCGAGCCCCCCCGGCCGCCGCCUUCACCAUGGCGGUGGUGAUAGUGAGCGGUGCUGUUGCGGCCUAGUCCCAAGCGAAGGGCGAAAAACAGGGAGAAGACGACGGAUACCAGUACCUCAUCCGACGCGUGUCCCUCAGCGGCCACUCCUCCAUGACUUCCCAUCCACCAAAUUUAUUAUUUAAACCUCCAAAGACGACGAAACACGAGUAGAAAUUUUUGACAUCGAUUGUAACUUCCUUCCAUCGUCGGAGUGAAAUUUAUUUCCCUAAAUCCACAAACUUUUCUUCUUCGAAUCUUUUUCACCGUAUCUUCUCUGGUAGAUCAAAAAGAUUAUGCAGCAAGGUGAUGAAAUGCGAUUGCGCCACGUACUGGCCAACGACAAAGCAUGUAAUGCAGCAACGACGUACAGAUCAUGCCCCAACCGCUCUAUGGUUCCACUCCAACGCUGCCGAAGAUGGCGGUGAUCCAGCUUUGCAAUGGGCUCAGCCGUCCGACAGGUGGAGUACCACUGUUGUGGAAGAAGUUUGACAGCACUGGUACUCAUGUUCCAUUCCAGCGAGCCGUGUAAACUGCCUCUUAAUUUGUGUUAUCUAAGUCAAAAUAAUAUGAAAACAAAAUUUCGGUGUAACUUUAUCAAUGCAAAUACGAGCAUAGCGCAUCAAUAAUACAUGA
Long non-coding RNA from Zingiber officinale, 751 nucleotides. RefSeq lists it as uncharacterized. Lineage: Eukaryota; Viridiplantae; Streptophyta; Magnoliopsida; Zingiberales; Zingiberaceae. The record is from RefSeq and is a predicted model, not a curated record. The transcript is spliced from 2 exons.